This 68-nucleotide transfer RNA is filed under the name Marmota monax (woodchuck). RNAcentral describes it as "tRNA.Thr". The stretch from base 5 to 65 matches the Rfam family "tRNA", at positions 6 to 65 of the family's 71-position model. From Rfam's summary of the family: Transfer RNA (tRNA) molecules are approximately 80 nucleotides in length. Their secondary structure includes four short double-helical elements and three loops (D, anti-codon, and T loops). Further hydrogen bonds mediate the characteristic L-shaped molecular structure. tRNAs have two regions of fundamental functional importance: the anti-codon, which is responsible for specific mRNA codon recognition, and the 3' end, to which the tRNAs corresponding amino acid is attached (by aminoacyl-tRNA synthetases). tRNAs cope with the degeneracy of the genetic code in two manners: having more than one tRNA (with a specific anti-codon) for a particular amino acid; and 'wobble' base-pairing, i.e. permitting non-standard base-pairing at the 3rd anti-codon position. Lineage: Eukaryota; Metazoa; Chordata; Mammalia; Rodentia; Sciuridae. The record is from RNAcentral.
GGUUUGUGGCUCAGCGGUAGAGUACUCACCUAGUACGUGUGAGGUCCUGGGUUCAAUCCUCAGCACCA